RNAcentral lists this long non-coding RNA (5903 nucleotides) under Sus scrofa (pig). Its description in RNAcentral is "lncRNA (ENSSSCG00040050276.1)". The record is from RNAcentral. Lineage: Eukaryota; Metazoa; Chordata; Mammalia; Artiodactyla; Suidae.
AGAAGCCAACUCUGAGUCCUAAUACAUCACCAUUCCCUGAGGUGGGCAAUGAUUUGUCCUCACAGGAGUGAAUAGUAUAUAUCCCAGAUACAUAUUUGUCUUCCUCAGAAUUCUUCUGUUGGCAUUCCCACUCACGGGCCUCCAAAUGCCUUGUCCAUUGACAUGGUAUCUCACAAAAUGUGGCAGCUUUAGAAGGUACUUAUUUGGGGGUGAAGAAGGUGUGGCAAAUGGCUCUUGCUUUCAGCAUUCACUACCCUCUCCUGUCACUGAGCAGCAGAUGACUUGAUAGAUUACUGGAAUGGUCUGAUAAAGAGAGUUCCUUUACAAGCAAGUACCUUAAGCCAGCAGACAAUAUCUGGUGCCAUCUGGAACCAGAAUGCAUGAGCCUAAGAACAAGGGAAAUGAGAAUGGCUAGAUAAAUGUGUAGUGUUAUCCCUAUCUCGAGAUCUAUAUUCUAAGGAGGAAUGUUCUGCCAAAAAAACAGAGUCAUGGUUUAAUUAAAUUGGGAGCUGAGCCUACUUCCAGGCUAUUUUCAGGCUUCUUUUACCACUGAAUUAACAAAGAAGGUGGGGAGUGGUCACUACUGGGUGGGGAAUUGAUACAGUGGUCUUAUAAUUUCUGAAAAUACUAGGAUAAGUUCAUAAUCAAUUGAAAUAAAUGCUUAAGCAAACUGAAGCCAUCAAGAUAUCACAAUAGGAAGUAGCUAAUGCAAAAUCUAUCAUCAAGGACUUCUUCUUUGGAGAAGCAGAAGGUAAAGUCCCCAGAGUCAGUAGGUAAUUACACUAUUCCCUCUCUUCCAAGAGAAGUAUCUGCCAAGAUUUUCUCCCAUCCUGGUGCAUAUUCAUUUGGAAUCUGCAAGGCUUUCACAGCCAUCUUUGUAAUUUGUUCUUCAUAUUCAACAUAAUCUUUAUUCAUAGCCACAUCAGGGUUUGAUGAUUGGACCAUAAAGUAAACAUUAUGCCAAAAACAUAAAGGCUUUAGCCAAGACAAGCAAUUGCCAAAAACUGUUGUUUGGGGAAGUAGGCAUUUUUUUUUUCUUCUAUUGGCAUCAGUGUUCUGCUGCUCUUGCUGCAAGAUGCUUUAAGCCCCGUGAUUCUGUAGAAGCACUGCACCGACUUGACAUCAGCGGAAUGAUCAUCAAAUCUCUUAGCCUGUUGGGUAUUGGUGUGCCAGAAAAGGUGCGACUGAGACACAAUGGUAUCAAUGUCGUGGCUUGAGAGAGGUAACACAGCAUCAGUGAGACAAAAGGCAUUGUCUGAAAGCUGGGUUAUUGUCUAUCACUGGAGAUAGUUUGGCAAAGGAAUAAGCUGGCUCUCUUUUGCCUGAGUGUACACAAUGGCAUUCAGGGUAGCUGCAUUAGGAACCAAGGGCAGCUAGACAAGACCCCUGGCUGUUGUGGUUUCAAUAGUCACCUGAGUGCUACUGUCAGGUUUUAAGAUGGAGCUGCUUGCUCAGCUCUGCCAUCCUUGGCCAGAUCCUACACAUUUAAAUGGUCUUUGAUGAUUACAUCUUCACUGUCCAUAGCUUCUGACAAAGGCAGUAUUGCUUGUUGGUUGGGGCUUGAGCUAAGAGAAUAAAUCCUAACUCUGACAUCUACCAGCUGUAAGUCCCAAAGCCAGUUAUAUAAUACUUCCCAAGUUCUCUGAUUCUUUAUAAAAUAGUAACAGGCUACCUUAUUUGCUUUUAAGUGGGGGUAGAAUCCCAGCCCCUAAAAUCUCAUCUUGACACACAGAUGAGAAGAAAUACACUUCUAAUAAUUCCUGAAAGCACUAGACUUUAACUCUGGCAGAACCCCAUCCACAACCGACUUUUAAAAAUGUAAAGAGAUUUUAGAAUUCUUUAAAAUAGCAAUUGAUCGAUUCCUCUUAUCUGGAAAGAAAACUAAGCUUAUCUUCAUCUAACCCCAAAGUCUACAUUCCAGUGUAUUAUCAGUGUGUAGUCUAGGGACUCAGUUUUAGAACCAUGAAGACCUGGGCUUGAAUGUAAGUUUUGAGACUUAUUUUCCUCCAGUCUGACACUGGGACAGUUACAUCUGACAGUAAGACCAGUGUCGCUUCAUGGGUCAGGUGAGCGCUUGUGCGGUACCCAGAUGAGAUAUCGGGGACACCUCCCAAACAUUGGUUCUCCUCUCUUCUCUCUCUUUCCACUCUUCACUCAUGCACAGCUUUAGAACUGUUUCCUAGUUUUUGCAUAGAUUUUGCACAUGUUUUUCUUCAAACCAAUGACAGUAUUUUCUGCCCUUUAGAUGCUUCAUAGAAGAUUCAACCAUUAACUGAUUUCUAUAUUCUUUUCUCAAGAGUUCAGCUGCUUAUGCCCUAACUUUACCCUUCUCGUCCCCAUUUCAAUCCAUAGUCUUUUAAAUGUGCUGCAUUCUGUGCAGUAAAUGCCAUUCGAAAGCACUUAACAUUUACAAAGAGCGCUCACAUUUAUUAUCUGAGGUCUCGUCUCCACAGUGUUUUUGCCAUAACCCUGUGUAUUAGCCAGGGCUCUUUCAAUUUCAAGUGUCAGAAAUCCCACUCAAAAAAGAUUUAUUGGUUCACGUACAGAGAAGGAUGGGGAGGUAGGUGGUGUCAGGCACUGCAGGGUCUGAGGGCUCACUGAUUUCAUGAAUUUUUUUUUCUCCUCUUCACUUCUCAGCCCUGCCUCUUGCCGAUUUUUGGCCUCAUCCACUUCCUGCAGAUGUUUCAUUUUUGUGGUAGCAAGUCCGGCAGGCAACAGCUCCUACUUACAUUUCCAGCACGUGCUGUUCUAGAGGAAAGAGAGUGGCGUUUUUCAUCUGUCUGUAUGAAAUGAGCUUCAUCUGAGUCAUGUACCUACUCAUGGGACCAAUAAUUGGCCAGGGGGAUAGGGUGUGCUUGGCCAGGUCAGUGUCACACAUCUAUUCAAUCAGCCAGAAGCUGGGGUUCUAUGUCUGGCAGCUUACCAUGGGAGAAGCGUGUCUCAGGGGAAAAUAAUCAGGGAAGGGGAUGGCAGAGAGCAAAGCAAAGCAAAACGAGACCAAAACAAAGCCCGCAGGUGCCGCCCCAACAUUCUAGAUUGUCACAGAUAAUUCUAAUUUCAAAUACGUUAAAAACUGACAUAGCUUUCCUUUGAAUUUUCACUUGAGGUUUUAUUCUUUGCAGUCAAGAUGAUCCACUAAAUUUCAUGUGAUUUAAUUUAAUACCCGUGAAAGCCUUUUCAUAAAAAUAAAUGAAAACUCAGGAGAAAACACAUUUGUCAGACCACACAUCCUGAUUUGGAGCUCAGUCAACACGGUCCUGGUAAGGAAGGACAGCAGAGCCUGCAGCAGGGGGUGUCUGUCAUUGCUCCACCUGCCCACCUACGGGACUCUAUUUCUUGGCAGGGGAGCCAGCCUGCCCGAGCACUCAUUGAAUAUAUAUGUAAUGGUGUGACAUUUAUACGAUGCCAAGGAGACUUCGAAAUGACUAAAUUUAAAAUAGAUCUUAAUACCUAAAGCAAGAGAGCGAAAGCAGAAGGAAAUGAAAUACAUUCUGGGAGUUUAAAAGAUACAUAACAACCGAGCUAAAAUCAAAUAUGCCUGCAAAUUUUCCAAAGAGACGCUAAUUGUUUUACUCUGUCUUUUUCCUUCUGUUUCUUCCUUCCUCUCCACCCCAGACAUACUAGGCACAUUAGGGAACAAUAACAAUGAUGAUAUUAUUAACAGUAAUGAUUACCGUGUGUGGAGUGCUUACCAUGUGCCGAGCACUUUACCAAGAUCUUUAGAUACAUUAUCUAAUUUAUUAUUAUUAUUAUUAUUAUUAUUAUUGCAUUUUUAGGGCCGUACCAGUGGCAUAUGGAGGUUCCCAGGCUAGGGGUCUAAUCGGAGCUGUAGCUGCCGGACUACACCACAGCCACAGCCACGCCAGAUCUGAGCCCCAUCUGUGACCCACGCCACAGCUCACGGCAACAACGCCGGAUCCUUAAUCCACUGAUCGAGGUCAGGGAUAGAACCCGCAACCUCACGAUUCCUAGUCGGAUUCGUUUCCGCAGCGCCACGAUGGGAACUCCAGAUACACCAUCUAAUUUAAUCCUCAACAGACAAUUUUCCAAGACAUCUGGCAAUGAAUGGAUGAAAACAGGCUAUAAGGUGGUAGCCUUUACUUUUUUUUCCAGAGGAAGAGCCAGGAGAGGGAAGAGUAGAAAAUAAAUGUGAGCAAAGAGUAAUUAAUGAAGCAAAAUGAUUAGAAAUAUGGAGAGAAAUAGAGACAGAAGAAAUCAAUUCAGUUGCAAAAGACAGACCCAGAGCCAUCAACCAAAUCAUUUCCUCCUUCACUUGAGACAUAAAGGCCAGAGAGGCCAUCCUCUGUUAGCAUAAAGGCAGGAGACCAGUAAUCCAAGUUGGGGGGGGUUCAGCCACGGUCUAAGGAUUUAUUUCCGGUUUGGAAAGUUAGCACUUAACAAGACGUAAAUCAAAACCUGUAUAAUUAGGCAAUUUUCAGGGACUUACGGUAAAUUUAACUGCAAGGCAAGGUUAUAGUAUGAGCUGAGUCUAAGUAUUACUCUGAGAUGUAAUUAAUUCCCUACAGGUACAACCAGAAUUAUCGUAACAGCAAAGAGAUAAAUUGGAAAGUCAAUUUGCUUUUUUCCAUUCCUCUUAUACCCCUCCUCCCUGCGAGUUACAAUUGUUUUCCCCCGAAGUGGAUUCUGUACUAAAUCAUCUUAAUGAUGGGCCCUUUCUGACUUGGUUGUUUCUCUGCCUGUGGCAUCCUUUUCUGCUUUCCUAACUCAUCGAGUCUCACUCUGUUGUUGAAGCAUUUCCCUGGGGAGCUUUUAGGCUUCUGCAUCCUAAUUUCAUUUCAGUAUCUUCACUGUAUCCUUUGCAUGACAUCAAUAGUCUGUUAGUUUUGCACUUUGCUUUAUGGUACCAAAUCGAUUAACACAUGGUUUUAAAAACAUAAAUAUGCAUCCAUGUAACAAAGUGCAAAGAACAAAGAAGCAGUUUGUAUUUGCCUACCAGCUACAAAACUAGGCGGUAUAAUGAGCACUGACGCUAUAAAGAUGAAUUGGACUUGGUUGCUGCCUGCCCACACGAUAUUUGUGAAUUUCCCAGAACAGGUGAGUCCCUCAGGUAUAGAUUCAAAUUCUGAUUCUCUUUCUUCCUUUACUUUCUCACAGAGUCUACUAUCACAUGGAGAGACAAGCAUAAGUUAAUAUUUAUAAAAGGAGGGGAAGGGAACUUUAGAGAGAUGGAACUCCAUACAUGAUGGAACAGAUGCAUGAAAAAGCACAGUUGGAAAAGAAGAGAAAAAACAGGUCCGCUCUGCAGUAUUCUCCAGAACCUUGUGAACAACUACGUGUAGAUUUUGAGAAAUCUCUCUUACUAAAGUUUAUUUGGGGGGGGGAUGCGGCACCUGGAUUCAGUCAUUUUGUUUUGAGAGAUCACCAAACAAGGAUCCAAGCUAUGAAAUUUUGCAGCAGAGGUCAUUUUUUCCCCCAAAAAUAUAGCCUGGAUUUCAUUCCUCAAUGUUCCUGGUGGCAAACUUGGUAGCAUUUGGGAAACAUGCUCUGGCAUGUGGUACCUAUUACCCACUAGUCUUGCGAUCCUAGUUUAACAAAGUCUCCCUUCCUCAGUUGCCUCAUUCUCACAAAGUUGUUUGGAUUAAAUAAAAAUAACAAUAUAAAGUCCCUUGGCACAGAGUGAGUGCUCACUAAGUGGUAGUCAUUUAAUUAUUGUCAUUAUCAUGAUCACUAAAUUCCUUUCUGUACUCUGCUUGUGAUGUGUAAUUAUAUAAUCAGUGGAGAACAGUAGUAUAUUUCAUUUAAAUACUUAUGUGUAGAGUUUCCCUAUGGCUCAGCAGGUUAGGGAUGCCAUGUUGUCUCUAUGAGGAUGCAGGUUCAAUCCCUGGCCUCUGUAGGUUAAGGAUCUGGCAUUGUUGCAAACUUUGGUGUAGGUCACAGAUGUG